Molecule: ribosomal RNA, 898 nt
Filed under: uncultured bacterium
Lineage: Bacteria
Description: bacterial SSU rRNA
Rfam family: Bacterial small subunit ribosomal RNA
Source: RNAcentral
ACGCUGGCGGCGUGCCUAAUACAUGCAAGUAGAACGCUGAAGGAGGAGCUUGCUUCUCUGGAUGAGUUGCGAACGGGUGAGUAACGCGUAGGUAACCUGCCUGGUAGCGGGGGAUAACUAUUGGAAACGAUAGCUAAUACCGCAUAACAGUAGAUGUUGCAUGACAUUUGCUUAAAAGGUGCAAUUGCAUCACUACCAGAUGGACCUGCGUUGUAUUAGCUAGUUGGUGGGGUAACGGCUCACCAAGGCGACGAUACAUAGCCGACCUGAGAGGGUGAUCGGCCACGCUGGGACUGAGACACGGCCCAGACUCCUACGGGAGGCAGCAGUAGGGAGUCUUCGGCAAUGGACGGAAGUCUGACCGAGCAACGCCGCGUGAGUGAAGAAGGUUUUCGGAUCGUAAAGCUCUGUUGUAAGAGAAGAACAGGUGUGAGAGUGGAAAGUUCACACUGUGACGGUAUCUUACCAGAAAGGGACGGCUAACUACGUGCCAGCAGCCGCGGUAAUACGUAGGUCCCGAGCGUUGUCCGGAUUUAUUGGGCGUAAAGCGAGCGCAGGCGGUUAGAUAAGUCUGAAGUUAAAGGCUGUGGCUUAACCAUAGUACGCUUUGGAAACUGUUUAACUUGAGUGCAAGAGGGGAGAGUGGAAUUCCAUGUGUAGCGGUGAAAUGCGUAGAUAUAUGGAGGAACACCGGUGGCGAAAGCGGCUCUCUGGCUUGUAACUGACGCUGAGGCUCGAAAGCGUGGGGAGCAAACAGGAUUAGAUACCCCUGGUAGUCCACGCCGUAAACGAUGAGUGCUAGGUGUUAGACCCUUUCCGGGGUUUAGUGCCGCAGCUAACGCAUUAAGCACUCCGCCUGGGGAGUACGACCGCAAGGUUGAAACUCAAAGGAAUUGAC